Molecule: ribosomal RNA, 581 nt
Filed under: Microcharidius sp. 21 CA-2017
Lineage: Eukaryota; Metazoa; Arthropoda; Insecta; Coleoptera; Carabidae
Description: partial large subunit ribosomal RNA
Rfam family: Bacterial large subunit ribosomal RNA (bases 341-499)
Source: RNAcentral
UUAAAUGGCCGCAGUAAUUUGACUGUGCAAAGGUAGCAUAAUCAAUAGUUUUUUAAUUGAAAGCUUGUAUGAAAGGUUGGACGAAAUAAUAUCUGUCUUUAUUUAAUAAUUAUUAAAAUUUAAUUUUUAAGUUAAAAAGCUUAAAUAAUUAUAAAAGACGAGAAGACCCUAUAAAGCUUUAUAAAUUUUAAUUUAUAAAUAUUUUAGAUUUUUUAUUUUUAUAAUUUUAAAUUUAUUUUAUUGGGGUAAUAGAAAGAUUUAAUUAAUUCUUUUUUUAUAUUUUAUUUAUUUAUAUUUUAAUGAUCCAUUAUUAUUGAUUAUAAGAUUAAGUUACUUUAGGGAUAACAGCGUAAUUUUUUUAGAGAGUUCAUAUUGAUAAAAAAGUUUGCGACCUCGAUGUUGGAUUAAAGAUUAAUUUAGGUGCAAAAGUUUAAAUUUUUGGUCUGUUCGACCAUUAAAUCUUUACAUGAUCUGAGUUCAGACCGGUUUAAGCCAGGUCGGUUUCUAUCUUUAUUAUAUUAAAAUAUUUUAGUACGAAAGGACCAAAUAUUAAUUAUAUUAAUUAUGAUUUGAAUAAUAAU